This 487-nucleotide ribosomal RNA is filed under the name uncultured Desulfovibrio sp. Its description in RNAcentral is "bacterial SSU rRNA". It matches the Rfam family "Bacterial small subunit ribosomal RNA", at positions 898 to 1382 of the family's 1533-position model. Lineage: Bacteria; Pseudomonadati; Thermodesulfobacteriota; Desulfovibrionia; Desulfovibrionales; Desulfovibrionaceae. The record is from RNAcentral.
AACUCAAAGGAAUUGACGGGGGCCCGCACAAGCGGUGGAGUAUGUGGUUUAAUUCGAUGCAACGCGAAGAACCUUACCUAGGUUUUGACAUCCCUCGAACCCUCCUGAAAGGGAGGGGUGCCCUUCGGGGAGCGGGUGACAGGUGCUGCAUGGCUGUCGUCAGCUCGUGCCGUGAGGUGUUGGGUUAAGUCCCGCAACGAGCGCAACCCUUGUCCUUAGUUGCCAGCGAGUAAUGUCGGGCACUCUAGGGAGACCGCCUCGGUCAACGGGGAGGAAGGUGGGGACGACGUCAAGUCAUCAUGGCCCUUACGCCUAGGGCUACACACGUACUACAAUGGCGGAUACAAAGGGUAGCGAAGCCGCAAGGUGAAGCCAAUCUCAAAAAAUCCGUCCCAGUCCGGAUCGGGGUCUGCAACUCGACCCCGUGAAGUCGGAAUCGCUAGUAAUCGGAGAUCAGCAUGCUCCGGUGAAUACGUUCCCGGGCCUU